CUGCAUUUCUGUCAAUUCCUUACAGGCAAAGACCAGAGACACACCCAGCGGCAGCCGUUGACUCCCUCCACCCUUGCUUCCCUCUCAACCAUCUCACCUCCAUCUGUCCAGUGGAGCCAGAUGUCCCACCUUCUUGGGAGAAAUUAAUUGAGGCUCAUUUCCAGGACAGAGGGGCAAGCUGGGUCUGAGGAGCCAAGCAGAAAAACUUCCCAAAAUCACUGGGUGGGGAGGGGUCAGAGACUUACUGCUGCCCCAGCUGUUCUGACUCUGCCCCCAGCUUUUGGCCCCACCCUUUUAAAGCACCUUCAGAGGUUCCCAAUGGUGACAGUAAACAAGUCUCCACUGUCCUGGCCAUCUCUGCUGUGUUCACCCUACUCCUGAUCUUUCUGGCUGCUCAGGGACUGACAGCCAAGAUGUGAGGCUGUGAUGAGCAGGAACAGGGAGGCCUGGAGCCCCCAGGCCAUUGUCAUCACUUCCCUGAUCUGCCUAAAUUCUGCCCAGCAGUCCGUGAAAAUGGUUUGCUGAUGACAUAUGUAAGGACUUUAACUCCCCUCAAGCAAUCUGCUCAUCUCAAAGGGUAAAACAUUGGCUCACUCCUAAUGCAAUAAAUGACACAUAAGGUCACAAUUCAAUGGUA
Molecule: long non-coding RNA, 637 nt
Filed under: Homo sapiens (human)
Lineage: Eukaryota; Metazoa; Chordata; Mammalia; Primates; Hominidae
Description: non-protein coding LINC01723:29
Source: RNAcentral